RNAcentral lists this non-coding RNA (21 nucleotides) under Caenorhabditis elegans. Lineage: Eukaryota; Metazoa; Nematoda; Chromadorea; Rhabditida; Rhabditidae. The record is from RNAcentral.
UGCACUGUAAUCGUGAAUUGU